RNAcentral lists this long non-coding RNA (206 nucleotides) under Elaeis guineensis (African oil palm). RNAcentral's name for it is "long non-coding RNA (EGUI_LNC007649)". The record is from RNAcentral. Lineage: Eukaryota; Viridiplantae; Streptophyta; Magnoliopsida; Arecales; Arecaceae.
AGUUGCCAAAGAAACCAUUAGAUGUGGAUCUCUUUUUCUAUUGCCACUCUCUCUUCUGCUGCAUGUUGUUAACCUUUUGCCCCACUAUUUUGGCUAAAUUGACCAUCUCCCAAUAAGAGAUCAACUGCAUUAGUUGUACUCCAACUCGGAUAUCAGGCCUUAGCCCUUUCUCAAAUCUUCGAGCCUUGAUGUCAUCAAUAGCCACU